Vicugna pacos (alpaca) is the source of this 4297-nucleotide non-coding RNA. NCBI's taxonomy places the organism in Eukaryota, Metazoa, Chordata, Mammalia, Artiodactyla, Camelidae. The record is from RefSeq and is a predicted model, not a curated record.
CAGGAGGAAUUACUAUGAGCUUAGUCCCUUCUCCAAAAAUCUUGAUCCAGCCUGAGGUAUAAAUCCAGAGGGCACAGUAAUAUGUAGCCUCAUCUUCUUUCUUUAAGAAACUGAUUUUCAAGGUGGAAGUGGAAGUGGAAGCAUAUUUUCUUGCCUCAAGUUUGUUUUUCUUCCCUCCUAAGUCGCCUAGAGCAGAUGCUGUCGAGAUGUACAUUAGCUGUUUCAGGCCCUGAUCUGGUUUCUGCUGGUACCAGUGUAUGUAAUCGUUGUCAAAGCUGUCAGAGGUCACCUUACAAGAUAGGAGUACACUCUUAUCUCUUACUCCAGUAACUGAUACUUCAGGUUGCUCCAACUGUGGCAGCAUAAGGCCAGCUGCAAGCAAAGAAGAGAAAUUCCCAUGAAUGAACGACAUGAAAGAGGCAACAUAAAAAAGACCCUCUUCAGUCUCUCCUGACGACUGAAAUGAUCGGGGGGCAACUCACAAGCCCAGAAGAAGGAGAAAAUGGCCACUUCCAGGAGUGUCAUCCCGUCACCAGAACGACGCCAGGGAGGAGUUGAUCUCAAUACUUUUCCUUACUUCAGUGGAAACGGAUACCUGGGACUGCUCCACUUUAGAUAACCCAAGUCCAACUGUGAAUAAAAGGAGAGAAUUUCCAGUGAGCUUUGGAUAAUAUAAGAAACAUCAAAGAAUUUCUCUGCUCACUCGUGUAAAAGAAAUGGUCAGGGAGUGACUCACGAGCCCAGAAGGAGAAGAAGGUGAAUGCUUCCAGCAGUGACAUCUUGGCUGCCAGGCUGUGUGCUCGAGGAAAAGACUUUCCCUGCCGAUCUGAAGAUAAGGCUAGUGGUCUCUGGAGGGCUAUUUGGCAUGAAUGUGUGGGAGCUGCAGGAGCAUCUUGAGUUCUGUGGGAAUGCGAAUGGUGUCUACUUGCCUAGGAGCUAUUUUAUGGACACUUUUUUCUCAGCAUAGUAUUUUAAAAUAUUGCAUGUUUAAUAAACAUUGACUUCUAUGGUAGGAAAUAUUUAAUGAGCAUUUUCAUUGGUUAGGCUUCUUUUUUCUAAAUGUUUCUCAUCUCACAGCACAUCACAUGGUACUGAUGCUGGCAGUUCUCAUUUUAUAGACCAGGAAAACGAGUUUCAGGGGAGUGCCAUGACUCAACAGAAGCACCCAGCUCAGACGCGGAACAAGCUCAUUGAAGAAUUUCAGAGAAACAGGGCAAAGAUGAAAAUAAAAAUGUUUGUUAUCACAUAGUCACGACAACAACUCUUAUUAUUAUGAUGUCUUAACUGCUGGACUUCUUCUCUGCGAUAUACGGAUAUGAACAUGAUAUUGUGGAUUAUAAAUGUAUUCAUUAGCCACUCUGUCUUUUGAUUGGAGCGUUUAUUCUACUUACAUUUAAAGUAAUUAUUGACACACAGUCACUUUUUGCCAUUUCAUUAAUUGUUUGUGGGCUUUUUUGUGGUUCGUUUUGUUCUUUUCUUCUUCUUUUGUUCUCUUUCCUUUGAUUUAAUUAUUGUCUUCCGUGUUAUGUUUGCGUUCCUUUCUCUUUUGUGUGUGUAUUUAUUAUAGAUUUUUUGGCUUGUGGUUACCAUGAGGUUUAUAGGUAGCAAUCUGUAUAGAAUAUUAUAAGUUUCUUACCUGUUAAGUUCGAAUGCAUGUUAACGACGCACUUUUACUCCACACCCCCCACGUUUACUGUCUUUGAUACCAUGUUUUACUUCUUUUUGUUUUGCGUGGCUUUAACUGCUUCCUACCGAUGCAGAUGGUUUUACUACAUGUCUUUUAACCUUCCCGCUAGCUUUCUAUGUGGUUGAAUUACUGCUUUUCCUAUAUAUUUGCCUUUAUCAAUGAGAUUUUUCCUUUCCUAAUUUUCAUAUUUCUAUUGUGGCCUUUUCUUUUCUACUUAAAGGAGCCCCUGUGUCAUUUCGUAUAAAGCUGGUUAGGUGGGGCUGAACAUUCUUAUCUUUUUCUUAUCUGUAAAACUUUUGAUAUCUCCAUCAAAUCUGCAGGAAUGCCUUCCUGGGUAGAGUGUUGUUGGCUGUGGGUUUUUCCCUUUCAGCAUUUAAAAAAUUUCACGCCACUCUCUUCUUGCCUGCAAAUUUUCUCAGAAAAGUCAGCCGAUAGCCUUAUGGGAGCUCCCUUUUAUGUAACUUGUUGCUUUUCCCUUGCAGAUUUUAAUAUUCUCUCUUUCAUUCUUUCCGUUUUAAUUACAACGUGUCUUGGUGUGGUCCUCUUUGGACUGAUCCUCUUUAGGACUCUCUUCGCUUCCUGGUCCUGGAUUUCUGUUUCCUUUUCCUGCGUAGGGAAGUUUUCAACUACGAUGUCUGCAAAUAAUGUUCUCUUCCUCUUUUCCUCCCUCUUCUCUCUCUGGACUCUUACAGUGAAAAUGUUAGUAUGCUUGAUGCUGUCCAAGAGGUCUCUCAGAUUAUCCUCAUUUCUUUUUUUUUCUUUUUAUUCUUUUUACUUUUUUUCUGUUCAGCUUUUGUGAUUUCUGCCUCUCUGUCUUCCAAUUCACUGAUCUGUUCCUCUAUACCAAGGAAUCUAUUUUUUAUUUCUUCUAAUGUAUUUUUUAUUUCAUUUAUUGUAUUCCUUAUUUCCACUUGAUUCUUCCUUAUAUUUUCUAACUCUUUGUUACAACCUUCUAAUUCCUCACUCUGUUCGUGUAAUCUACUUCUGAGCUGUCUGAAUGUCUUUAGGAUCAUCACUUGGAACUCCUUAUCAAGUCGAUUGCUUAUCUCCACUUCACACAGUUCUUCGUCUGGGGUUUUAUCUUGUUCAUUCAUUUGGAGCAUAUUCCUCUGUUGCCUCAUUUUGCUUAAUUGGCUGUGUUUAUUUCUCCGUAUUUGGAAGUGUGGUUCUAUUUCCUGACCUUGGGGACAUAGCCUUUUUUAGGAGACACGCUAUAUGUCCCAGCAGUGCACUCCCCUCUUGUUACCUGAAUGAGAUGCUCUAGGGGUGCCCCGUAUGUGAGCUGCGUGACUCCCUUAGUUGUGCUGGGCUGACUACUCUGACGGUUCUGGUAAGGGUGGCUGGCCCCCAAUCCAGUUUGUUGUCCCCAGUCAAGUGUGUCCCAAGUUGACCUUCUAGCCAUGACCUCUUGAGUGGCUACUCAUUCUGACUUGACCAGGCUCUGCUCAGCUGGGCAAUAGAACUUGGUCACAAAUGCCAAAGUAUAUUCUUAUAAAAUUAAUAGACACUAAGGGUAUUCAACAGUGCAGUUGAAACAGCACGGACUAUUUGUUUGGACUGAUUACUGCCUCUCUCAAAGCAGCAGUUCCUUCUUGCAUGAAACAUACUUAUUAGCAGGGUUUUAAUGGUUAUCACAUGAGCUUCUGAACACUUGUGUCCUCCUGCACAUUAUCUGGCAGCCCGUGGGGGCUACAUGGAUAUGAAUUCCGUUACAUUUCCUCGUUAGUGCCUCUAGCCUGAGCCUCUCACAAUUACUGAAAAUCUCUGGGAGAUGAAAUAAUGCACCUUGCCCUCUCUUCUCUCUCAGAUAAUCAGCCCAUUUCAACAUACAUAGUCUCUAACUAGGAACCCACAGCAGUAGGAACUGAUGUCAAGCCAGACAUUUAGGGGCACAGUUACUAACAUCUGUGGGGGUACAGUCGAUAGCCAUCAGGCUCCCUUUCCUCUUUCAUUUGACAUGAGGCAUCGGCCCAAGAAGCACAGGAAAUGCUGCGGGCUGAGGCUGAGGUCUGGGCUCAGGACCAAGGUUGCUCCGCGUUGGGAAGGAUGUGGUCACGGUCAAGAUAAGGGCUCUAAUGGUACUGUAGGUUCCCAGGGGCCCUUAUAUUAGGUCUUCAUUUCCUCUUCUUCUGUGAAUUUUAUGUACUCCAUGGUUGCGCGGUCGCACAUGACCCUCAGAAGCCCGAUUUGGUGUCAGCACCUUUACGUGUAUGAAAAGUUACAUCUCAAUACCUUACAGUGAACACAUAUGUUUCUUUUCUGCUAUUGAAAUAAAUAUUUUCAUUUGCUUCAAUUAUAUCUGUCCGGUUUUAUACAUAAACAAAAGAAUAGCAUUUCCAACAAGAAGCAAAAUUAUUAAGACAAAAACAUUACUUUCUUUUUUGCUGGCACAAGUUAUUUUAUUUUUAUAGACGUAUAGUUGAUUUACAAUAUUAUAUUAUCUUCAGAUGUACACCAUAGUGACUCAAUAUUUUUAUAGAUUUUACUUCAUUUUAAAUUAUUACAAAAUAACAGCUCUACUUCUCUGUGCCGUUGCUUAUGUAUUUUACACAUAUUAGUUUGUGUCUCUUAAACCCACACCCCAUCUUGCCCUCCCCACUUCCCUCUCCA